RNAcentral lists this unclassified non-coding RNA (317 nucleotides) under Hevea brasiliensis (rubber tree). Lineage: Eukaryota; Viridiplantae; Streptophyta; Magnoliopsida; Malpighiales; Euphorbiaceae. The record is from RNAcentral.
AAAAAUGAGCUUCUUGAGUCCGAAGCAUGGAAGCUGGAUGUGGAGGCCAAUGGUAUGUGGAUACAGAUGGCAUCAAAUAUUAGAGAAGUAGCUAAAAAAGUAGUUGGAGUGUUUAGAGGACAUGGAUCACUCUCAAAAGGGAGAUGGGGGUGGAAUGAGGAAGUAUGAGAGAAGUAGGGAAAGAUAUAAGAAAUUAUCUAAGUGUGAUAAUAACGAGGCGUAUAAACAAUAUAAGAUAGCAAAGAAAGAGAUAAAAAAGACUAUUAGUUAAGCAAGAGCGCAAACUUUUAAAAGGUUAUAUGAGAAACUUGGAACUA